GUCCACGCUGUAAACGAUGGGCACUAGGUGUCGCGGGUAUUGACCCCUGCGGUGCCGCAGCUAACGCAUUAAGUGCCCCGCCUGGGGACUACGGCCGCAAGGUUAAACUCAAAGGAAUUGACGGGGCCCGCACAAGCGGUGGAGCAUGUGGUUCAAUUCGACGCAACGCGAAGAACCUUACCCGGGCUAGACAACAGAGGAUCGCCUUAGAAAUAAGGUUUUCCCUUCGGGGACCUCUGGUUCAGGUGCUGCAUGGCUGUCGU
Molecule: ribosomal RNA, 263 nt
Filed under: uncultured bacterium
Lineage: Bacteria
Description: partial 16S ribosomal RNA
Rfam family: Bacterial small subunit ribosomal RNA
Source: RNAcentral